Callithrix jacchus (white-tufted-ear marmoset) is the source of this 1429-nucleotide long non-coding RNA. RefSeq lists it as uncharacterized. The record is from RefSeq and is a predicted model, not a curated record. NCBI's taxonomy places the organism in Eukaryota, Metazoa, Chordata, Mammalia, Primates, Cebidae.
CACCCCAGCCCUCACUUCAUUCUUUGCUGUCUUCUUUCAUUUUUAGAAAUUUGCAUCGUUUUAUCAUCUCAUUCCCAGAACUCACAACUCCUUUUUCCUCUGGUUCUCUUUUCACAGCAUUCAACAAUGAUUUUGUCAUUUUCGGAGUCUGGUGGAAGCCUUGCAAGUGCCCAUCUGCCUUUUUCAUGCAGAGUCCAGGUGUCAUUCCUCAUUUGAAGCUCACGUGGUAAAACCUGCGCUCCGUUGGAGUCAGCAGAGUGCAGAGGGCUGGAAGUCAACAAGGUGCCAGGACACUUGAGCAAGCAGAAAGCAAGAAGGUUGUGUCAUGGGAAGUAAUCCACUCCCAGUCCCUAAUGCAAUGUCUUCAUCUGAUCAUUCUUCUGAGAAGAUUUAGUUGACACUUCCAUCCCACACCUCCUGGUUGAGCAAAGUUUGUGAGACAAUGCUUAUUAAGUGCUUAACAUUGAGCCUGCCAUAUAGUAAAAGCACGUGAGCACUUCUGCCAGUGCCUUUAUGUGUACGGUCGUUUUUAUCCUCUCACCUUCUCUGCAAAAUGGGCAGUGAUCUUAUCUUUACUAAAUGAGCAAUCUGAAGCUCAGGUAAGUUGUGGAAUAGAAAAGGUAAGACAUCAAUUUUUCAUGUGUUGCUUUUAAAAAACUUAGUGAAUGUCUACUGUUUUCCAGGCACUGUUCUAAGUACUGUAGAAACCCCCAUUUCCUGUCUUCAUAAAGAGGACUCUGUAGUGAGUGAAUAGGGAGCUGAAUUUGGAUCAGUAUUGAGGAACUAAUGGAGGUGGGACACAGAUCAUGGGAACCUGGUAAAUCUUGUCUUUGACUCUUAGAAGAAUGGGAUCUGCAGGGUCCUUGUACUUGCUUUAAUGGUCUGUUAGUCUUUUCUACAUCUUUUUUUUUAAAGCAUCAUUUUAUUGGCUUAACAUUAAAGUCCUGUCUCAGGGCCCAUAACCCAGAAUCCUAAAGAGGGCCACAGCAGGCAGCCACAGUGUAAGGGAGGAGCCCUGGUGUGUGUUCCUGGGUAGGCAACACACUGACAGUUGUCUUAAGACACCUCACAGUCUCCUCUGCCACCUAGAUCUCCAGUGAUGUGGGCAGUGGUCAGGAUCACCCAGAGGUAAGGUAGAGGUAGAAUAAACUUCACCUUGAUUCUCUGACUAACAUAAUUUCCCUUUUCACGAGGUGUAUUGACUGUGAAUAUUGGUUCUGCAAACUUAGGCUCCUCUUUGCCUGGUACACUAUGGUGUGACUGCCUUCACCAAACCCAGGAUUAGCAUCUCCUGUGAACAUUCAACCUUCAGAGUGAAAAAUCAAUAAAGCAUUUUCAACAAAGAAACCGGUAAUGCUUGGAUAAAUGAGUGAUUGAAUAAAUGCAUUGUCCUUAUUAUGAAUCAAAACUUACCUGCCCUGUGCAAUUU